This 497-nucleotide ribosomal RNA is filed under the name uncultured bacterium. RNAcentral describes it as "partial 16S ribosomal RNA". It matches the Rfam family "Bacterial small subunit ribosomal RNA", at positions 28 to 507 of the family's 1533-position model. The record is from RNAcentral.
GAUGAACGCUGGCGGCGUGCCUAAUACAUGCAAGUCGAGCGAACAGACGAUGAGCUUUCUCCUCUUACGUUAGCGGCGGACGGGUGAGUAACACGUUGAUAACCUACCUAUAAUACUGGGAUAACUUCGGGACACCUGAGCUAAUACCGGAUACUCUAUUGAACCGCAUGGUUCAAUAGUGAACGACGGUUUUGCUGUCCCUUAUCGAUGGAUCCGCGCCGCAUUAGCUAGUUGGUAAGGUAACGGCUUACCAAGGCGACGAUGCGUAGCCGACCGGAGAGGGUGAUAGGCGACACGGGAGCGGAGACACGGACAAGAGUACUACGGGAGGCAGCAGUAGGGAAUCUGCCGCAAUGGGCGAAAGCCUGACGGAGCAACGCCGCGUGAGUGAUGAAGGUCUUCGGAGCGUAAAACUCGGUUAUGAGGGAAGAACAAAUGUGUAAGGAACUAUGCACGUCGUGACGGUACCUAAUCAGAAAGCCACGGCUAACUACGUG